CCUAGAAUAUCAAUUUAUUGAUUGAGGCUGAUAUUCUUUAAGUAAAGAAACACUUUCUAGUA
RNAcentral lists this transfer RNA (62 nucleotides) under Proasellus hercegovinensis. Lineage: Eukaryota; Metazoa; Arthropoda; Malacostraca; Isopoda; Asellidae. The record is from RNAcentral.